GUGAAAGCCCCGGGCUCAACCCGGGAAUUGCAUUCGAGACUGCCUGGCUAGGGUGCGGAAGAGGGAAGCGGAAUUUCCGGUGUAGCGGUGAAAUGCGUAGAUAUCGGAAGGAACACCAGUGGCGAAAGCGGCUUCCUGGUCCGACACCGACGUUCAGGCACGAAAGCGUGGGGAGCAAACAGGAUUAGAUACCCUGGUAGUCCACGCCAUAAACGAUGAGAACUAGACGUUGGAGGGGUCAGCCUUUCAGUGUCGCAGCUAACGCGUUAAGUUCUCCGCCUGGGGAGUACGGCCGCAAGGUUGAAACU
Molecule: ribosomal RNA, 308 nt
Filed under: uncultured bacterium
Lineage: Bacteria
Description: bacterial SSU rRNA
Rfam family: Bacterial small subunit ribosomal RNA
Source: RNAcentral